GACGAACGCUGACUGCGUGCUCAACACAUGCAAGUCGAACGCUGAAGCCUGGUGCUUGCACCGGGUGGAUGAGUGGCGAACGGGUGAGUAACACGUGAGUAACCUGCCCCUGACUUCGGGAUAAGCCCGGGAAACUGGGUCUAAUACCGGAUACGACUGCCGGACGCAUGCCUGGUGGUGGAAAGUUUUUUCGGUUGGGGAUGGGCUCGCGGCCUAUCAGUUUGUUGGUGAGGUAAUGGCUCACCAAGACGACGACGGGUAGCCGGCCUGAGAGGGCGACCGGCCACACUGGGACUGAGACACGGCCCGGACUCCUACGGGAGGCAGCAGUGGGGAAUAUUGCACAAUGGGGGAAACCCUGAUGCAGCGACGCAGCGUGCGGGAUGACGGCCUUCGGGUUGUAAACCGCUUUCAGCAGGGAAGAAGCGCAAGUGACGGUACCUGCAGAAGAAGUACCGGCUAACUACGUGCCAGCAGCCGCGGUAAUACGUAGGGUACGAGCGUUGUCCGGAAUUAUUGGGCGUAAAGAGCUCGUAGGUGGUUGGUCACGUCUGCUGUGGAAACGCAACGCUUAACGUUGCGCGUGCAGUGGGUACGGGCUGACUAGAGUGCAGUAGGGGAGUCUGGAAUUCCUGGUGUAGCGGUGAAAUGCGCAGAUAUCAGGAGGAACACCGGUGGCGAAGGCGGGACUCUGGGCUGUAACUGACACUGAGGAGCGAAAGCAUGGGGAGCGAACAGGAUUAGAUACCCUGGUAGUCCAUGCCGUAAACGUUGGGCACUAGGUGUGGGGGGCAUUCCACGUUCUCCGCGCCGUAGCUAACGCAUUAAGUGCCCCGCCUGGGGAGUACGGUCGCAAGGCUAAAACUCAAAGGAAUUGACGGGGGCCCGCACAAGCGGCGGAGCAUGCGGAUUAAUUCGAUGCAACGCGAAGAACCUUACCAAGGCUUGACAUACACCGGACCGUCCUGGAAACAGGUCUUCUUCUUUGAAGCUGGUGUACAGGUGGUGCAUGGUUGUCGUCAGCUCGUGUCGUGAGAUGUUGGGUUAAGUCCCGCAACGAGCGCAACCCUCGUUCUAUGUUGCCAGCACGUGAUGGUGGGAACUCAUAGGAGACUGCCGGGGUCAACUCGGAGGAAGGUGGGGAUGACGUCAAAUCAUCAUGCCCUUUAUGUCUUGGGCUUCACGCAUGCUACAAUGGCUGGUACAGAGAGAGGCGAACCCGUGAGGGCAAGCGAAUCCCUUAAAGCCAGUCUCAGUUCGGAUCGUAGUCUGCAAUUCGGCUACGUGAAGUCGGAGUCGCUAGUAAUCGCAGAUCAGCAACGCUGCGGUGAAUACGUUCCCGGGCCU
This 1347-nucleotide ribosomal RNA is filed under the name uncultured bacterium. RNAcentral's name for it is "bacterial SSU rRNA". It matches the Rfam family "Bacterial small subunit ribosomal RNA", at positions 28 to 1381 of the family's 1533-position model. The record is from RNAcentral.